This is a long non-coding RNA of Syngnathoides biaculeatus (alligator pipefish), 4328 nucleotides long. RefSeq lists it as uncharacterized. The record is from RefSeq and is a predicted model, not a curated record. The transcript has 6 exons. Lineage: Eukaryota; Metazoa; Chordata; Actinopteri; Syngnathiformes; Syngnathidae.
GUUUUUGGCAAAACCUCAAUCCCGUCUCCCUUGCACCCGUCCCUUUAGAAAUUCUGCAGUGGAUCAUCAGCUUGGUAAAAACAGGCUUUUUGGGUAUCACACUUCUGUCACCAUUUGUCAAGACUUAGAGUGACACAAACGCUUGAUGAGUGACUGAAAGGAGAUAGAGGAUGGACUUCUUUGACAAAAGCUGCUGAGAACAUUGACAAAGUGAACCAGCCGGUGUGGAGCAACUCAGCCAGAGCAGGAAGUCAGUGCAGAACACAAUUAUUCGUGCAAGAGCUGGGGAUGCAGAAGAUGUGGACUAAGAUGCUGUACAAGCUUUAGGGGGAUGAUCAGAAGAUGUCACACUUGUUUCAAAUUCCUUGUGCAUCAGCCGUGGCUCACAGAAAGUGGACAGUCCGGUGGUCAUCAUUCCUGAGUAGAGGACAACUCACUAGUGACCAAUUAGUUGCUGUUUGUUCAUGUGCGAGCAGACUGCAAGGAGGAGAACUGAUGAUAACCUGGGUGGUUGAUGUCUUGGAUAACACUGGGUUGCAAGAAAAAAAAAUAGUGAAAACCGGGAUUCAUCCGUGAAGAGAACACCUCUCCAACGUGCCUGACGCCAUCAAAUGUGAGCAGUCGCCCACUCAAGUCGGUUACAGUGAUGAACUGCAGUCAGGUCGGCACCCCGAAGAACGAAACAAGCAUACAGAUGAGCUGCUGUCUGGGUGAAUGUUUGAGAUGAUCUGGGAGCUGAACAUGGUGGAUGUAGAGGUCCUGGGCUGGUGUGGUCAUCCGUGGUCUGUGGUUGUGAGGUUGAUUGGAUGUACUGCCAAACUGUGUGAAACACUUUUGGAGACAGCUUAUAGUAGAGAAAUGAACGUCUGAUUCAUGGAGAACAGCUCUGGUGUACGUUCCUACAGUCAGUAUGGCAAUUGCACACUCCCUCAGAACUUGCAACAUCUAUGGCGUUGUCUUGGGAUAAAACUGCACAUUUUAUAGUGGCCAUGCUAAAGCACACCUGUGCAAUAAUCAUGGUGUCUAAUCUAAUAUUUGAGGGAAAUGGCCCAUUGUGUACAGUAUGUACAACACAUUUUAGAUCUUGGAGUCCAGCUCACGAAAAAUGGCAGCAAAAACAAAAGUGUCAUGUUCAUAUUUUUGUUCAGUAUAUAUAAGCAAUGUAUCAUCGAUCUUGAAAUGUUGCUGACUUAGUCAAAUUUAAGUCAAGCUGUCUCUCCAACUAAUAUUUCCAAUUCCUUCAUUUCAAAUUUCAUUUUGCAGUUGGAACGCUCACCCAAAUUUUCAAUAGUGAAAAUAAUCCGAGGUACAUAAAGCUUCACCAGUACACACAAAUUGUUAGAGUUAGUGAACACACAAUUUAGCAUCUGCUAGUUGGGAUCAUAGUAAAACAUCACAAUCCUAAUAGUACACACACACAACAUCUCCUCUAACAUCUGACACAGUCUGUACAAUUGCGCAAUUUGCCGCCCGCUUUUUAGGAUCUUAGAAAAUCAAUCCCGAAGUGAUGGAUUUUGUGUGAUUUUAACCACAUUUUAUGAAAACUACACUUGGCUUAUGCAUGAGUCAAGUUGGUGGCAACAUCUAAACUGUGAACAUCAGCAUUCAUCACUAACAGAGAAAAAAUAUGCAAGAAACAAAAAUUGCUGUGAGGCAAUAUGAAAUGUCAAAUAGUGCAUGCAAAGCUGAAACCUCAACACACGCAAAAUAGCCAAGUGUGUCCUCACUUUUUAAAUGGUGUGACCGACACUUUGAAUGAAGGCAGCAUCAACACCUGCUGCUGCAUUUCAACCAAGGAGAGUUAGGGAGUCAAGAUGGAAAACAGCAAUUGUAACACCCUGACACACACACACAUUUGAAUAAUCCCAUCCAUCCAUUUUCUGAGCCGCUUAUCCUUACGAGGGUCACGGGAGUGCUUCAACCUAUCCCACCUGACAUCCGGCAGGAGCGGUGUAACACCCUGACUUGGUUGCAAGCCAAUUGCAGGACGGAUGGAGACACACAAUAGUGGUAUUCACAAUCAUACUUAGGAGCAAUUUAGAGUCUUCAAUUAAUGCAUGUUUUUGGGAUGUGGGAGGAAACUGCAGUGCCCGGGAAAAACCCACACAGGCACGGGGAGAACAUACAAACUCCACACAGGGGGGCAGUAUUUGAACCCCGGUCCUCAAAACUGUGAGGCCAAUGCUCUGCAGCUGCCAAUUUGAAUAUUUUUUUUUGUAAAUUUGACAAUUGUUUAUUUUAGAAGUCAGUGCCCUUCUAUUGUAAGUUCAAACAUGACAUUACUUUUGUAAUGUUGCGAAUUCUCUGCCACUUGUGAGAUCUCACUCUCUUUUAAUACUAGAAACUGUAUACUGAGGGCAUGACUAUAAAGUUGACGCUUGUAAGUGUACAACAAAUUAAGAUAUGGAAUUAUUCUAUGGAUGGGUUUAGUGUAUGUUUUUGUCUUGCUGAUAAUAGACAUCCUGCAAUCAGUACAGUAUAUUUAUUUUGUUAUGGCGACAUACAUGCGCACUUCCACUACAUUUGCACCAUCUAAUGACAUAAUUCUAAUGACCUUGGGUAUGCCAUGCAAAGUCACCAAUCUAUAUAUAACAACUAAUCACGGACUACAAAUGGGAAAUACUGUAGUUCCAGUAAGUCUCUUUUACUGGUCCAUUUACACUUUCUUGUUUUGAGGUCAGUGAUCAGCGACAUCUUUCAGCGUCACCAUGGACACGGAAAACUUAGUACAAUAUUUUGCUACGUUUACGGAAAUCCCCAGAUAUCGCCCUAUAGGCCACUUCCUUUAAAGGCACUUCAAUUCAAUACAUGUGAUUGUGAGUGACUUAUUCCUUUUUUUAUGCUCAUAAAUCUAUUUACUCCUUAGAGCAUUGAUUUAGUAAACCAGGGGACAUUAGUUUGUAUCUCACUUGGAUCUCUAGUCCCCAAGAGGGGUUGCGUCAGGAAGGGAAUGGAAGGGCAUUCGGCAUAAAAACUGUGCCAAAGAAAUAUGAGCGGCACAAGCCAAAAGAAACUUACUUACUUUUUACAUUCUCUUUUAUGGGCUACUAUUUAUAUCUAUGUUUUAUAAUACAGUAUAUUUUUCCUUUAUUAAAAAUCUAACAAAAAAUGUUGGCCUUUUUUUGGAAGCUGAAUGGAUUAAUACCCUUUCAGCUCAUUUCAAAGGGGAUAACUGAUUUUGCAAUUAUAACAAGGAAAAUUUAAAUUCUCGGUUGGUCAUGGACAAAAUUAAACUCAUAAGUCAAAAUAACCACUCUAUUACCUGAUGUAUUGUUAGGGACUCCAAAUUAAGAUUCAACUAUCUUUGAAAGAAAGAAUCAAUACCACCCAAGUUGUUCAUCUGAGCACUGUGACUCAAAAUCCUGUGGCCUAAAUCUUGUUAGUAUAAGCACCUCAAAACACCAGCAACCUCUAUGCUUUUGUUUCUGAGCCCUGUGAGUCCCUGAAGACAAUGUAUGGAAGCAAACUAAUUAAAAGUAAAUUAUUCACAGGAAGAAAAAAAGUGAAUAGAAAUAUGUGAAUGAAGAUGAUUUAUGAUUGAAAUUAGAUAAAGAAGCCAAAUUCCUCUUUUUUACCCUUCCAUAUGAGCUGAAGAGAAUCUUUGAUGAAAAUACUAUUUCAUUUUUACAAUGGAAGAGAUACUCGUACCUAUUGUGUGAUGUAUGUGGAGUGUCAUUCCUCUUCUCUACCCCCAAAAAAGAACAUCUUUUAUUAAGGUGUGACUUUGUCAUCCCCUUCUUAUUUUGAGGGGAUGGUAGCACACUCCUCGCUCUCAUCUCUUCACUGGACUAUGCCUUUUUCACAGAUCCCGAGACAGACUCAUAUAAAUCUAUCAAGUCAUCUGAGAGAAGCACAGGCUUUGGGUGUGAUAAUGACUUACAGGAGGGAACCAAUGGAGAUCUGCAAAACAUCGACACACAUUCAGGCUUACUCAUACACACACAUUGGUGUGCCAUCCACACCUCUCCACUCAAAGAAAACUGUCCGAUCCCCGCAUUCAUCCUAUCCCCGACCAUCCACAAUCUAUGUCAGCUGCAAAAUUGAGGUGGCAACGCCCAUCAGAACCAUUAUAAUGUGGUGAAAGACAGCAAAGAGCAGGGGAGUUGGAGGGCAUUGCCAGUCCUACUAAAAAGCCGAGGUACCAUCCAGAGCUCCCAGUCUCAGUGGGUAGCAAUGGGGAGUGGGCCAGCCAGGGUGGUAAUAGAGUAAAUAACUCAAAUGAGUCAGAGUGUGAAUUACUUCUUUGACGGGCUGGAUGGAAUCCUGCUGUGAGUCCAACCAGGGGGUCCAGCCAGGAUGAGCCUUGAAAACCUGGGGAAAUGGGUCUG